RNAcentral lists this ribosomal RNA (253 nucleotides) under uncultured bacterium. RNAcentral describes it as "partial 16S ribosomal RNA". It matches the Rfam family "Bacterial small subunit ribosomal RNA", at positions 524 to 776 of the family's 1533-position model. The record is from RNAcentral.
UACGUAGGGUGCGAGCGUUAAUCGGAAUUACUGGGCGUAAAGGGCGCGUAGGCGGCCCGCUAAGUCGAACGUGAAAUCCCCGAGCUCAACUCGGGAACUGCGUCCGAUACUGGUGGGCUUGAAUCCGGGAGAGGGAUGCGGAAUUCCAGGUGUAGCGGUGAAAUGCGUAGAUAUCUGGAGGAACACCGGUGGCGAAGGCGGCAUCCUGGACCGGCAUUGACGCUGAGGCGCGAAAGCUAGGGGAGCAAACGGG